Molecule: long non-coding RNA, 239 nt
Filed under: Ananas comosus (pineapple)
Lineage: Eukaryota; Viridiplantae; Streptophyta; Magnoliopsida; Poales; Bromeliaceae
Description: long non-coding RNA (ACOM_LNC040356)
Source: RNAcentral
ACUGUACCAACCGUACCAAAUCGUACCAACAAUAUAAAAUAUCAAUAUGACACAAUCCUUAUACCAAUAGCACAGCUCAAAACUCUCUAUUCUUUAAAUUAGUAAGGAAAUUUCUCAAUAAAGUUUAAAAAAUUUUCUAAAAAUAUAAAAUAAACAGUUAGAAUUUUAUUGCUAAAAAAAAAUAAUUCUUUCAUGUCAUUAUAUUGUCGAUACAUAUGUAUCUUUUAUAACUGGCACGU